RNAcentral lists this transfer RNA (75 nucleotides) under Methanosarcina mazei. RNAcentral describes it as "tRNA-Lys". It matches the Rfam family "tRNA". From Rfam's summary of the family: Transfer RNA (tRNA) molecules are approximately 80 nucleotides in length. Their secondary structure includes four short double-helical elements and three loops (D, anti-codon, and T loops). The record is from RNAcentral. RNAcentral also lists the same sequence under 4 other names. Lineage: Archaea; Methanobacteriati; Methanobacteriota; Methanomicrobia; Methanosarcinales; Methanosarcinaceae.
GGGCCCGUAGCUUAGUCAGGCAGAGCGAUGGACUCUUAAUCCAUAGGCCGGGGGUUCAAAUCCCUUCGGGCCCGC